UACGUAGGGGGCAAGCGUUGUCCGGAUUUAUUGGGCGUAAAGAGCUUGUAGGCGGUUUGUCGCGUCUGCUGUGAAAAUCCGGGGCUCAACCCCGGACUUGCAGUGGGUACGGGCAGACUAGAGUGUGGUAGGGGAGACUGGAAUUCCUGGUGUAGCGGUGAAAUGCGCAGAUAUCAGGAGGAACACCGAUGGCGAAGGCAGGUCUCUGGGCCACUACUG
RNAcentral lists this ribosomal RNA (219 nucleotides) under uncultured bacterium. RNAcentral describes it as "partial 16S ribosomal RNA". It matches the Rfam family "Bacterial small subunit ribosomal RNA", at positions 524 to 742 of the family's 1533-position model. The record is from RNAcentral.